CGCUGCGGCUCUUCACCUCUGGCGUUGCUGCUACCGCGGCCUUUUUCCUUUCCUCUCAUCGCUACAGCAAAUUGCUGUUCUUGCGGUGCAUUUCCCUCCCCUGCCGCCGCUGCGGCUCUUCACCUCUGGCAUUGCUGCCACCGCGGCCUUUUUCCUUUCCUCUCAUCGCUACAGCAAAUUGCUGUUCUUGCGGUGCAUUUCCCUCCCCUGCCGCCGCUGCGGCUCUUCACCUCUGGCGUUGCUGCCACCGCGGCCUUUUUCCUUUCCUCUCAUCGCUACAGCAAAUUGCUGUUCUUGCGGUGCAUUUCCCUCCCCUGCCGCCGCUGCGGCUCUUCACCUCUGGCAUUGCUGCUACCGCGGCCUUUUUCCUUUCCUCUCAUCGCUACAGCAAAUUGCUGUUCUUGCGGUGCAUUUCCCUUCCCUGCCGCCGCUGCGGCUCUUCAC
RNAcentral lists this long non-coding RNA (444 nucleotides) under Volvox carteri. RNAcentral's name for it is "long non-coding RNA (VCAR_LNC002822)". Lineage: Eukaryota; Viridiplantae; Chlorophyta; Chlorophyceae; Chlamydomonadales; Volvocaceae. The record is from RNAcentral.